Molecule: long non-coding RNA, 8842 nt
Filed under: Vitis vinifera (wine grape)
Lineage: Eukaryota; Viridiplantae; Streptophyta; Magnoliopsida; Vitales; Vitaceae
Description: long non-coding RNA (VVIN_LNC000909)
Source: RNAcentral
UUGCAGGGUGAUAUUGUGGGCAUUAGCCUUCAUUUUGCGACUUUAAAAUGUGUCUAUUUAUACGAAAAUAUUAAGGUAUCGAAGUGGUAUUUGAUUCCAACAUAUAUAGAUAUACACAAAUGGGAUCAGCGGAUAAAUAAUGGAAUAAAAAAAAUUGUAUAUGUGAUAUUGGUAUCUUUUUUAUGGCUAUAAAAAAAAAAAAAAAAAAAAAAAAAAAAAAAAAAAAAAAAAGGUCCCUUGAUAUGGGAAAGGGCCCCCUAUUUAUUUUGGGAAAAUUUUUUUUUUUCUAAAAGGGCCAAAAAUUUUUUUUUGUUUUCAUAGGGUCCCAGGGCCUUCCAAACCCCAUCGGGGAUAAAUUAAACGGAGGCAUCUUGUUCCUUUUUGGAUUGAUUUAAAUUGAAAAAAAUUGCCCCUUUUGGACCUUUUCGAAUUUAAUUUGUUUCUUUCUUUUAAAAAAAAUUGUGGGUUUAUUUUUGGAAGUUGUUUUUAAAAGUAGUUUUUUUUUUUUUUUAAGAAAAAAAAAACAAAAAAUUAUUUUUUUGUUUUUAAAAAUAAAAAACAAAAGGAUUUUUAAAAAAAUUUUUUAAUUUUUAUUUUUUAAAUUAUUUUUAAAAANNNNNNNNNNNNNNNNNNNNNNNNNNNNNNNNNNNNNNNNNNNNNNNNNNNNNNNNNNNNNNNNNNNNNNNNNNNNNNNNNNNNNNNNNNNNNNNNNNNNAGGAUGAGACAAGUAUCUCCCGUAAGCAGAUGCUUGCUCGGCUUGAUGUCUGCAUGGGUGGCCGAGUUGCAGAAGAGCUUAUCUUUGGAGAGAGUGAGGUCACUUCUGGUGCAUCUUCUGAUCUCCAGCAAGCAACUUCCCUUGCAAGAGCAAUGGUUACAAAGUUUGGUAUGAGCAAAGAAGUUGGGGUUGUUACUCACAACUAUGACGAUAAUGGAAAGAGCAUGAGCACUGAGACUAGGCUCCUUAUUGAAAAGGAAGUAAAGCAUUUCUUGGAAAAAGCCUAUAACAAUGCUAAAACCAUCCUCACUACUCACAGCAAGGAGCUGCAUGCUCUAGCUAAUGCCCUGCUUGAGCAUGAGACACUUACAGGAAAUCAGAUAAAGGCUCUGCUUGCACAGGUCAACUCCCAGCAGCCGCAUCAGCAACAACAACAGCAAUUGGUUACAUCACAGAGCACUUCACAGUCUAAUCCAGUGCCUCCCUCAACACCCAAUGCAGCCGCAUCUGCUGCUGCUGCUGCAGCUGCAGCAGCAGCUGCUGCAACUGCUGCAGCCAAGGCCAAAGGCAUUGCCCCUGUGGGAUCUUAGCAUGAAACAGCUGGUAAGACUCUUUCCAAGUAGUAGCUAUCAGUAUCAAUGUGCAUAUGGCAAUUUACUUAAAACCCUUCUGUUUCCAAGAACGACCAUGCUAGUUUCAUUGCUGCCUACUUGCAGUGAUGUCCAAUUUAUGUAAUCAUCAUGAGCUCGGAAGUGAUCGAAAGCUGUAGGAGAUUAAUGGCAGAACCCAGAUCGUAGCAGUUAUAAUUUAUGCCCAUUGGAAAGUGUCGUCUGUCCCCUUUCAUUUUAGUGCCACAAAACUGACUAUACUGUCUAUUUGAAUUUUGUUCACCUUCACAACAUUUGUAAAGCACUUACCAUGAGUUACUCUCUCUUUCCUCUUCUUUCUCAUAAUUGCCUGUGUGGAUUCAUGACAAAACAAAAUGAAUCAGAGUUAUUAGAGAUUAUCAUAAGAAGGGCUUGUCUUCAACAUUAUCUGGGUUCAACCAUUGCUGGAACCUGAUACAUAUACAUUCACUCAGCUUUUUAUUCACCCUACUCUUUUCUAGUGUUUUGAUGUUCAGACCAAGGUCUGUUGCCUUGAAAUUUUCUUUCCAUUCUCAGUGGUCUUCUCUGUGUUAUGAGGUAUCUGCUGCAAUUUCCAUUUUUAAUGGGAGUUUUGAGACUUGAUCUGGAAAAAAUUGCUGAAUUUAAGUUUGUAAGCUUGGUGAUGUUUACCCAAAGAGAGGAAAAUUCUUGCAGGGUGAUAUUGUGGGCAUUAGCCUUCAUUUUGCGACUUUAAAAUGUGUCUAUUUAUACGAAAAUAUUAAGGUAUCGAAGUGGUAUUUGAUUCCAACAUAUAUAGAUAUACACAAAUGGGAUCAGCGGAUAAAUAAUGGAAUAAAAAAAAUUGUAUAUGUGAUAUUGGUAUCUUUUUUAUGGCUAUAAAAAAAAAAAAAAAAAAAAAAAAAAAAAAAAAAAAAAAAAAGUACCAUGAUAUCGGAGAUGGACUCCUAUUUAUAUUUGGUAAAUUUUCUUUCUUCUAUAAUGGUCUAGAAUUUCUUCUUGUUUUCAUAGUGUCUCAUGGCCUUCCAAACUCCAUCGAGGAUUAACUUAACUGAUGCAUCUUGUUCACUUUUGGAUUGACUUAAAUUGAUACAAAUUGUCCACUUUGGACCAUUUCGGAUUUGACUUGAUUCAUUCUCUUAGAAAAAAUUGUUGGGUUAUGUUUGGAAGUUGUGUUUAAAAGUAGUUUUUUUGUUUCUUUAAGGAAAAAAGAACGAUAAAUUAGUUUUUUGUUUUUAAAAAUAUAAAACAUAAUGAUUUUUAAAAUAAUAUUUUAAUUAUUAUUUUUUAGAUUAUUUUUAAAAAUAAUUAUAUAAAUAUAAAGAAUGAUUGAAAAUAAAGCAUUGUAAUAAAAUUUAUUUUUAAAAACAUGUUAAACAUGGUAAGAAUAUUUAAAAAAAUUUAACAUAGAGAAUAAUUUUUAAAAAUUAUUUUUGAAAUUUAGUUUCACUUGUUGUCAAAUUAUUUUCAACCAAUGAGAAAAUUUGCAAAUGAUAAAAUUUCAGUUAGGGCCUGUUUAGGAUAAUAUUUUAUUAAAUAUUAAAUAAUUUCUUACAUAAGUUAAAAUAAAGUUUUAAUAAUCAAUAAUUUUAUAAAAAAAUUAUAUUAAGAUCUUUUUUUAAAAAAAUUAAAUUAUUUUAGUAAAAUUAAUUAAAUAUAUGAGAAAGAUUUUAUUGAACUUUUUUAUAAAAAAAAAUUAACUUCUUGAAAAUUAAUCCAAAUAAGAUAAUAUGAUAAUAGUAAUGAAGACAAAAAUUGAAGAACAAGAGUUCUGAGCAUUUUUUAAGUCCUAUAACUUUGAAAAUAAAUAUGAAUUAGAAUUUUUAAGAAAUAGUUCACUUCUGCCACGUGGCAAAUUUUUUUUGCAUAUGAGAGCUCACCAGCCGAGGACAGAACUGGAAAAUCACAGGUUCCCUCCGACUCCAGGGUUUCUCUGAUGUCGGUGACUCGGCCGAGUCCAACUCACCUUGAACGAGUCGGCCCUCCAGGUGAGUCAUCUGGCUUACCCAUGUUUCAAAUCUUCGAUAUCACAUCCAAAUUCGAUGAAACAAUGAUAUUCCCUCAAUACCCGUCUCUGAAUUAUCACAAAUCCACGAUCCUUGUAUGAUCAAACGGCUUGCGAAUGAAUUCUUAUACGUAGGUCUCAAAAAAAAAAAAAAAAAAAGGAAAAUUCGGUAGUUAGUUGGUGGUUUUUCUUGUGUUUGAUGUUCAAAUUUGUUAAAUGGACAUUGAAUUAACGUGGAUUUUAAUGACUGAUUGCUUGAAGAUUUGUGCUUUCAUAUUUGAAGUUAAUUUUCUCCGAAUUUUGUAGUUAAUACCUCUGUUUUCAGUAAUUUCACUGUAAAUGGCUUGUGUGGCUGUUAUUGCAAAUGUGUAAAGAGGGAUUGUUAUAAGAAUAUUUCUUUUGAAUGAUUGUUCAAGAAGAUUUAUGGGGCAACUUUCUUUGGGAUCUUUUGUCUGUUUUAGGGGAUAUUCAUGUUAUGGAGACAUAAUUCUAAUAAAUGGGAAAUGAAAUUGUACGAAAUUAUGAAUGAGUUGAGAAACUAUCAUUUAAGUGAAAAUUAUUAAUGUGCUUAAUUUUGAUGGGAGAAUUUUGAUUUGAUGGUGCUCUAGAGAUUCAUCGUCUGAUCAAUUAAUGUGUGAAGGCUAUUUUUAUUUCAUAUGACUUAUUUCUGGUUGUAUUUAGCUAAAAUUUGUGGUUCUAAUUUCUGAAAUGCAGUAUGUUUUUCUUGUUCCCCGAUGUCUUUGAAAUGCUCCAUGUUGAAUUUAUGAUUUUCUUGUGCGUUUCUCUAUAUCUUUAUUAUAUGUUUUUGUUUCAAAGUUUGCAUAGGGUCUUUAAUGAUUUAAUUUGAAUUGCAACAUUGAAUCUUUUUCCUAUAUCAUCUGCAGUAAUUAAACAACAAAGAGUUGUGAUACAGAACCAACAUGGUGAGAAGCUUGUGGGCAUAUCCCAUGAAAUAGGCUCCAAGGAGCUUGUGAUCUUAUGCCAUGGAUUUCGAUCCUCGAAGGUUGGUAAUCAUGUUAUGUAAAAUACUUGCAACUUUUUACUCGAGAACUAUGAACUGUCAAUGCUUUCUCGCACUUAUGUCCUUAUGUUUCUUUUCCUUGAGAACUAUGAAUUUUCAAUGCUUUAUCAUGCUUAUGUCCUUAUGUUUCUUCCCAUUUUUCUUUUUCCUUUUCUUUUUGUUGCCUAAUAUUGUUAGAUGCCUUGCAGCUUUGGUCCCUUAUUUACACAUACUCUUUGACAAACUGUUUUUUUCAUGCGAGGAUAUGGACUUUAUAUGUGAGGAUCUUGUGUCGAGAUUGAUUUCCAAAAUUCAGAUCUAAUCUUUUCUUUUUGUUUUUUAAUCUCUAGGAGCGCAUUCCUAUGGUGAACCUUGCUGCUGCUUUGGGAAAAGAAGGAAUCAGUGCCUUCCGCUUUGACUUUGCAGGAAACGGGUAAGUCAUCUGUGAGAAAGGGAAGGGGAAAAAAAUUAGAUGGUUAAAUUUGUUAGACUUUGUAUGUGGAUUGGACUUCUUGUGGUUGCUCCUCAAUUAUCAUUCCUCGCAUAUUCUGGUUGAGAAGUACUGAAAUACGCUUUGAGAAUCAGCUGAAUUUGUGCUUUUGUAUCAUAUAUAAUAUGCUUUCAGUUUCAGAGUUGUUCCAAUUGAGUAUGCUCCUUCUGUCUGGAAGUUCUGCAUCAAGAUCAGUAUUUAGGAGUCACUUUGCUUAACCCUUGUUGGUCUUCUGCAGUCUAAAUACUCACACUAGUGGGUAGAGCUUGUUUGUAUUUUUGUAACAGAUCAAUACGUGCCAUGCUUCUUGCAUUUUUCUUAAAUAUGCUUUAUCUGUACUCAGCUCAGAAUCUUUCAGGUUUUUUAUACAUAUCUUAGAGAAGGAUGGCGUCUAAUGGUUGUGUCUCAUUCAGAUGUCUUUGUUUGAAGGAUUGAAAGUGCAGGGUGAAAGAUACAGUAAAUUCAAGCAAAUAAUUUUCCUUUAGCUCCCCAAAUUGUCCUCUCCCAUUUUUGCUGUCCAAGAUAGCCCUUUUAAAAUGUCAUUUAAAAGGCUUCUGGAACCUACUUCUCCUUUUAUUGUUUAUAACUACUAAAUUAUUUGGACUUAUUAACAAAAGUAGAGGAACUCAUCAAAAGUUCAAGGGUGAGCUCAUUAGGAGUAAUUUUUGUUUCUGAAUUCCCUUCAAAACAUACCCUUAUUGCUGACAUGACAUAUGAAAUACUUGAUGCUGAUACAAAUAAUGAUAGUGAACUGUUUAUGCUCUGCCUCCCAGGGAAAGUGAAGGUUCAUUUCAGUAUGGUAACUACCGUAGGGAAGCUGAUGAUUUACGUGCUGUAGUACAACACUUUUAUGGGGAAAAACGUGUAAUUAUUGCACUUGUUGGACAUAGUAAAGGUCUGUCUGUUUAUAUCUUCCAUGCUCAAUUUAUUGAACAAAACCCACAAUUUGGACAUAAAAGUGAAGAAUUAUACAUGCAAAUAAAAAAAAAUAUGUUAGUUUUAUCUGAAUCAUUUUUGUUGAGUAUUCAGGUGUCUCUAAAUGCCUUCACUCUAUAGAUCUUCCAUGGUGGAAGUUUAACUUCUUGCAGAACGGCUAAAUAUGACAAUGCAGAUCCCCAAACCAAUAUUCUCUGUGUGGUAUUUGGGCCUAAUAUGAUUAAUGGAAUUGGAAGACAAUAUAACUUGCUUCAUGUGUUUCAUUAUAUGGACGGUUAAAAGUCAUAGAAAGGUAAUUCCUAGUGAAAAACUAUUGAUGAUUGAUUUUCUUUGUUACAUUGCUACUAAAAAUAUCAUAUUCUCACAAGAAACUAUUGAUGAUUAAUUUUCUUUGUUGUACUACUCGUGAUAUUCCCCAACUUCUUGGAUGCAUUGGUUUGUCAAUUUAAGUCAUGUCUCUUUGAACCUGUUAAUAUCAUUAUUUAAGAUUUUAUCCUUGAGCAAAUCUUUUUGGUACAAUGAUAAAGAAGUUAUCCCUUCCAGUUUAUGUUUGUAGUUCAGAAAUAAUAUACUGCCUAUCAUAGGUGUCCUUAAUUUUAGCUAGUAUUGAAAAUUCAUUCAAAUAAUACACCCCUUUAAACUAUAAUGUUGAAUUAUUCUUACAGGAGGAAAUGUGGUGCUGUUGUAUGCUUCAAAAUAUAAUGAUGUCCAUACCAUUGUGAACAUUUCUGGCCGCUUUUAUCUGGAGAGAGGCAUUAAAGGUCGUUUAGGUCAAGAUUUUUUACAAAGAAUCAAGCAAAAUGGAUUUAUUGAUGUUAAGAAUAAAGGGGGUAAGCUAUUAACAUAUGGCUUCUUAUUUUCCUUACUAUCAUGAUUUGUAUGUCGUAUAUGUCAGUGGCUCUGUCAGCAUACAUGGUUCCACUUUUUUUUUUCUAUAUGGAGCUAAAAUUUCUUUUAUGAUCUUAAAAUUUAAAAUUUGGUGGUUCCAUCAGUGCCUUCUUCCAUGAACAUCUACAGUUACAUGCUUUGAAAAAUUGCAUGGACUCAUGGUACCACCCUGAGUUUCAUAGGUAUUUAGAAGGCACCAAGCAUAUGCUAGAGUUCAGAAUAACCAUCUAUGCCUGCUGACAUGUCUAUAUAUUUGCAGGGAAGUUUCAGUAUCGUGUGACUGAAGAAAGUUUGAUAGACCGUCUAACUACGGAUACUCAUGCAACAUGCCUCUUGAUUCAAAAGGAUUGCAGGUCUGAAAGUUCAUCAUUUUUCUUGACAUUUCAGCCAUAUCUAAAUAAUGGAAGAGACAAAUUGCUGGUUAUGAUAAUUUAUGAUCUGUGAAACACCCACUUUGUGGUAUUUAUCUUUCGCCACUAUAUAAGUGUCUCAGAGAUAUAAAUUAUGAUUUUUCCCCAUCCUAUUUUUUAAGUUGUGACUCUUCUCUCUUCAUAAACUGAGUGGGGAAGGACUAGGUCUCUUCUAUGUUUAAAACAUGGGUGUGACAUGCCUGUCCAAAUUUAUUGAUCUGGAGUAUUACUUAUCUAUUCUAUCAACCUUCCUUACACCUCAGGGACAACCAACCAAACUGCAUUGUAACUCGAUAAUGCUCAACUUCAUGAAUUCAUAUCAUGGAAAAUACAAAGAUUUUUUCACAACAAAAUGGACCCAUACUUUUAAUGUCUGUUGCUUGUCACUCUGCUAAACUUAAUUCUUCAUAGGUUUUUGGAUCAUUUCUGAACUCACUGAAUUUUGGGGUUAGUUGUUGGACUUCUUACAAGAAAUUCCUGAUUGAUUCUGAGAUAUUAAAUAAUUAUUGGUUUAGAAAGAUUUGCAAAUCAAAGUUGUUGCCGUGAGUUUUUUGUCUAGACAAUAACAUUUGGUGUUGGGCACCUCUAGAUUGUAUGAUAAAAUACUAUACCAUCUUUGCAGCUAAUUGGCCAUUCAUUCGCCUUUUCAUGAUUUCUAGUCUGAAUUUCUAGCACACAUUGUAAUGUUGCUGCUACUACAGAGUGUUUACGGUUCAUGGUUCCUGUGAUGAAAUGGUGCCAGUGGAAGAUGCUUUGGCGUUCGCCAACAUCAUACCCAAUCACAAGCUACACAUUAUAGAAGGGGCUGAUCAUGAGUUCACUUCACACCAAGGUGAAUUAGCUUCAGUUGUCCUGGACUUUGUAAGAUCAUAUCCACCCUGCAGCAAAGGUAUAUCUGAGCAGUUACCACGAUCAUGCAUAAGAGCAGAUAAUUCUACCCGUUCGCGUCUCUGAUUGUCAGUCUGCAGAUUGAAGAAGCAACUGAGCGAUGAUAACGAAAUCAGAACUAAAUUGUUUGGGGUCAUAGACCUGAUAUUGCAAAUUGAGCUCUUCUAAUUCCACCCAUAUGGAGAAACAAGUUUGGCUCUCUUCUACCUGUAACAUGAUUAUUGAUUCAUAGGCUAUUGUUGAGAUUAGAAGAUAACAAAAGUUUAUAGUUACUGGAGAGCUUCUGUAUGGUUUCUUACAUUUAACUCAACAAGGAAACUGACUCCUGUAUUUAAUUAAUUUUAUGUAAUUUCCAUGCAAAGGAAAUCCAAUUUGUUGGUAAAAACUGUAUGUGGAUGAGAACUGAUUUGUUAAAUUAUACCUGUUGAGGUGUAACAAUGCCUUUUUUAAGUCAGGGAUGGAUCACCUAAAUGACGGGUUUUACCAUAAAAGGUUUGAACUACCUUACUAGACCCCAAUUGAUUUUUAAAAUGAGAUAGUCAAGGCGAUCCAAGAAUACCAAUAAGAAUGAUUUCUGCAUAUUUAGGAAAUGUUUGCUUCUGACUCUACUUGGUAUGUAUAUAUAUAUAUAAUCAUUCUUAUUCUCACUUCUAUCCCAUUAAAGAUGCACUGUGUAGUGAAAUACCAAAGUACAGGUAGACCCUAAAAGUUCAAACAAAAACUCUCAAAACAUUUCUAUUUUUAUAGCCCAGACCCUUCUCUAAAAUAUAACCGGGAGCCCUCAUUAAGGGGUAACCAUAAAUAACAACUUAUAAGAGAUACAACACAGCCUAGAUGAAAAAGGGUACAACAAUGAGAUUGAUGACAACUUUCACUCCGACCAAGAUAAAAGAUCCCAUUGAAAC